Ochotona curzoniae (black-lipped pika) is the source of this 1028-nucleotide RNA transcript. It is a transcript of the gene named selenoprotein K, with no coding region annotated. NCBI's taxonomy places the organism in Eukaryota, Metazoa, Chordata, Mammalia, Lagomorpha, Ochotonidae. The record is from RefSeq and is a predicted model, not a curated record. The transcript has 5 exons.
GCUUGGCGUCGUCGGGGUAGUUCGUGGCGGAGUCGGGGUUCGAACCCAGGUGGGCUUGACGCAGGCGGCGGUGUCGUUGUCAAGAGCUGCACGGACGCUUUCUGUGACGUGUCGGAAAGAACGGAGUCGAACUUGUUAGAUUGCACGGAGAAAGGGGCAGGAAGGAAGGGGCCCAGGGUGGGACUGUCUCGGCUCACGCAGGUGAAGUUCCUCGGGUGUCAGCUCAGCAGGUGCUUCUCGAAUCAGCAGAAUAAAAUCCCCUCGUCGCUCACCGGGAAAAAUCAAACAAGCAGGACAAGUGCUGGACAGCCGGAGUCAGUCCCCAUGGAGAUUAUCUCUGAUAACAGAUUUCUUCUGGGGAAUAGCAGAGUUUGUGGUUUUGUUUUUCAAAACUUUGCUUCAGCAAGAUGUGAAAAAAAGAAGAGGCUACGGAAGUUCGUCCGACUCCAGAUACGAUGAUGGAAGAGGGCCGCCAGGAAACCCUCCACGCAGAAUGGGCCGGAUCAAUCAUCUGCGCGGUCCCAGUCCUCCCCCCAUGGGCGGUGGAUGAGGAAGGUAAACGUCUGCUCUAAGAAGCAGACGACUGGGUGUGCACAUCCACGGCAGAAGGAGACCAUCUGGAGACGGAGCUGGCCGAGCCGGCAGCCUGGAUGGAUGUGUGCACCCCCACCCGAACCGCCCUGUGACCUCACAGACCAAUGACGUCAGGCUGGGAACUCCCCCUCCAGGGAUCUAGCCUGGCUGAGCUGCGGUUCCAUAAACUCUGUUUGUCUCAUCUUUUUGUAUAGUUUAUUAAAGUCUUACUAUAGUUUUAAUAAGUGAAUAUUUUUAGGUUGGAAGACUGACUCCUCAUCUUUAUAUAUUUAAAACACACACACACACACACACACACACACCACCACCACCUCAGAACCUGAACAGAAAAGGCUGAGUCCUAGUGCUGUCAGUGUCCCCUUUUUGGAUGUCUGAAAUACUGCUCAUUGUUAAGUUAUUUUCAUUUGUAAAUAAAUUGCAUUUAUUCAGUAGUA